GGCCUGUUAGCUCAGCUGGUUAGAGCGUGGUGCUAAUAACGCCAAGGUUGUAGGUUCGAUCCCCACAUGGGCCA
RNAcentral lists this transfer RNA (74 nucleotides) under Danionella translucida. It matches the Rfam family "tRNA". Rfam says of the family: Transfer RNA (tRNA) molecules are approximately 80 nucleotides in length. Their secondary structure includes four short double-helical elements and three loops (D, anti-codon, and T loops). The record is from Rfam by way of RNAcentral. Lineage: Eukaryota; Metazoa; Chordata; Actinopteri; Cypriniformes; Danionidae. RNAcentral also lists the same sequence under 1 other name.